CCCUUAGAUGUCCUGGGCUGCACGCGCGCUACACUGAUGUGUCCAGUAAGCACCUAACCUCUUCCGAAAGGAACGGGUAACCUUUGCAAAGCACAUCGUGAUGGGGAUAGAUUAUUGCAAUUAUUAGUCUUGAACGAGGAAUUCCUAGUAAGCACAAGUCAUCAGCUUGUGUUGAUUACGUCCCUGCCCUUUGUACACACCGCCCGUCGCUCCUACCGAUUGAAUGUUCCGGUGAGCUCUUCGGACUGCGCGGUCUGCAGUUUCUGCGUUCCGUGCGGAAAGUUGCGCAAACCUUAACAAUUAGAGGAAGGAGAAGUCGUAACA
This 324-nucleotide ribosomal RNA is filed under the name uncultured eukaryote. Its description in RNAcentral is "partial 18S ribosomal RNA". It matches the Rfam family "Eukaryotic small subunit ribosomal RNA", at positions 1470 to 1796 of the family's 1831-position model. The record is from RNAcentral.